CUACUGCUAUCGGGGUGGGACUAAGACAUGCGAGUCGUGCGUCUCUAAGCCAUGGUAGAGGCGCGGCGUACGGCUCAGUAACACGUGGUUAACCUACCCUUAGGACGGGGACAACCCCGGGAAACUGGGGCUAAUUUCUGAUAGGUGAGGAGGCCUGGAAUGGUUCUUCGCCGAAAAGGCGUUGAAACCAUGCUUUUCAACGUCGCCUAAGGAUGGGGCCGCGCCCGAUCAGGUUGUUGGUGAGGUAACGGCUCACCAAGCCUAUAACCGGUACGGGCCGUGAGAGCGGGAGCCCGGAGAUGGGCACUGAGACAAGGGCCCAGGCCCUACGGGGCGCAGCAGUCGCGAAAACUCCGCAAUGCGCGAAAGCGUGACGGGGCUACCCCGAGUGCCGUCCGCUGAGGAUGGCUUUUCCCCGGUGUAAUGAGCCGGGGGAAUAAGGAGAGGGCAAGACUGGUGUCAGCCGCCGCGGUAAUACCAGCUCUCCGAGUGGUAGGGACGAUUAUUGGGCUUAAAGCGUCCGUAGCCGGCUUAGCAAGUCUUCUGUUAAAUUCAGCGACUCAAUCGUUGAGCCGCGGGAGAUACUACUAGGCUAGGAGGCGGGAGAGGUCGACGGUAUUCUCGGGGGAGGGGUGAAAUCCUAUAAUCCCGGGAGGACCACCAGUGGCGAAGGCUGUCGGCUAGAACGCGCUCGACGGUGAGGGACGAAAGCUGGGGGAGCGAACCGGAUUAGAUACCCGGGUAGUCCCAGCUGUAAACGAUGCGGGCUAGGUGUUGAGGUGGCUACGAGCCACUUCAGUGCCGCAGGGAAGCCAUUAAGCCCGCCGCCUGGGGAGUACGGCCGCAAGGCUGAAACUUAAAGGAAUUGGCGGGGGAGCACCACA
This 884-nucleotide ribosomal RNA is filed under the name uncultured archaeon. Its description in RNAcentral is "bacterial SSU rRNA". It matches the Rfam family "Archaeal small subunit ribosomal RNA", at positions 24 to 883 of the family's 1478-position model. The record is from RNAcentral.